GACGAACGCUGGCGGCGUGCUUAACACAUGCAAGUCGAACGGAAAGGCCCUGCUUUUGUGGGGUGCUCGAGUGGCGAACGGGUGAGUAACACGUGAGUAACCUGCCCUUGACUUUGGGAUAACUUCAGGAAACUGGGGCUAAUACCGGAUAGGAGCUCCUGCUGCAUGGUGGGGGUUGGAAAGUUUCGGCGGUUGGGGAUGGACUCGCGGCUUAUCCGCUUGUUGGUGAGGUAGUGGCUUACCAAGGCUUUGACGGGUAGCCGGCCUGAGAGGGUGACCGGCCACAUUGGGACUGAGAUACGGCCCAGACUCCUACGGGAGGCAGCAGUGGGGAAUAUUGCACAAUGGGCGGAAGCCUGAUGCAGCAACGCCGCGUGCGGGAUGACGGCCUUCGGGUUGUAAACCGCUGUCGCCUGUGACGAAGCGUGAGUGACGGUAAUGGGUAAAGAAGCACCGGCUAACUACGUG
This 468-nucleotide ribosomal RNA is filed under the name uncultured bacterium. RNAcentral describes it as "partial 16S ribosomal RNA". It matches the Rfam family "Bacterial small subunit ribosomal RNA", at positions 28 to 507 of the family's 1533-position model. The record is from RNAcentral.